This 1641-nucleotide long non-coding RNA is filed under the name Penaeus japonicus. RNAcentral describes it as "uncharacterized LOC122252375". The record is from RNAcentral. Lineage: Eukaryota; Metazoa; Arthropoda; Malacostraca; Decapoda; Penaeidae.
GUCACUCUCCAAGACCAUUAACUUCAUGGUUGUGGCUGGCUUGAGGGCAAUAGAUGAAGACUGGAUCUGAGCUGGAGAACUGCUUGUAGACUUAUCAACGGAAGCAUCUCCUGGGUCCUCCUCAUACACCAACUGCAAGGAGCCUACGGCCAGUGUGGGAGCCACACUGGGUCAGAAAAGAGGAGGCCACAAGGGAUAGGCCUUGCUUCUCUGACAACUAUCAAACCAUCAAGUCCACUUCCAGCUCAACCUUUUGCAACCCCAUACCCUCUUCAACAGCUCCCUUUCUGGUGCUAGCCUCAUCUUCCUGUAGGUCAUGCAGAUCUUCUUAACCCAGAGCCUCCUCUCCUUUGUCCCCUUCUGCUGAUCCACCAUCAUCUAUAUUUGCCUCUAUAUCUACCAACAAGGACUGUAGUACCACCAUUCCAUGAGGGCCCUAGCAAGUUCCUCUGCUGAAAUAGUAUGAUGUGGUAAUUGACUCCAUCAAUGUACAAACACCUCAAAAAGACUCAUAGGAGAAAGCUUAAGAGAAAGGUCUUUCCGUUGCCAGGGGGUGUACAGGUAAAUAAUACUGCCAUCAGCAAAGCAUGUCCACAUGGUUCCCUAGUAAUUCCUAGAGCCUAAGACUACUCUGUCUCCUCAGAGGUCCCUACUACAAAUGAUGCUGGUACUCUUUGAUCCUUAUCAUCGAGAUUAGCACCCAAAAUGGUCACCUUGUCACCCUAGGCUUGAUUCAUGUCCAAUAAUAUUCCUCAACCAAUGGGAAUUUUUCUUAUUACAUGCGUAAUCAAUCUUCAACCCAUUAAUGACAGGACCAAUUUGGCUGUGUCUGGUCAUCUCAUAGUGCGUGGGCCUCAUGACCUGGGAUAUUUGUACUCCGAGGCACUGCCCACAUGCUACACGCCAGAUCCCCUGGCAUGAUGGCUAGACAAAGUCAUGAUGUUUAUGUCUCCCAACAAGAAGACCACCCAAGCAAUGAUGUGGAUGUCACCCAUUAAAAGGGUGUGGCAAAAAUAUAGUUUCCGCUGAUGGACUUACCAACUGUAACUGCCAGACACUGCCCUCUAGUGUGGUUGGAGCCUAAGUAGAGAUGUCUCUUUAUUCAACAAGUGACUGUCUCUGGUAAGUGAAUUUCCAAGAUAGUUGAUUCAUACUUACAGAUUAUUAAAGUAAAACUACAUGCAUUAAACCUCUUGCAGAGUUAAUACCAGCAAUAUGAGCAUUCCACUGUUAUGCUACUUUAUAACAAAUAUUCUUAUUCUCAUUCACUCAGACUUUCCUUUGAAAUAAAAGACUUGCACUGUUCGUGUUUGCUUCUCAUAUGUAUAUAAAUCCUUGGUUAAAGUAGAGAAAGAAAUAGUGUAGAAAAAAAAUAUUGUAAUUCUUCUAUCCAAUGCCGUGUUAUAACAUUCAUAUCUUAGAAGUUUCUCCCUUUUUCAAUAAUUUAAAAUUCUUGAAAGCGUUGCUUGAUCCUUCCAUCCUUCUCAUUUUCUUUUAUUCCUUUUCUUAAUUAGUCCAUUUUUCAUCUAAGAUUUUCUCUAAUGGAUAAUCUUUAGAAGUGUUUUCUAUCCUUGACCUUACCAAUUCUUUCUGUGUAUUUCAUUAUGGUAUUGUAUUUCUUUUUUCUUUCUCUUUUCAGUG